RNAcentral lists this microRNA (22 nucleotides) under Oryctolagus cuniculus (rabbit). Its description in RNAcentral is "ocu-miR-512a-5p". Its record names the gene ocu-miR-512a-5p. Lineage: Eukaryota; Metazoa; Chordata; Mammalia; Lagomorpha; Leporidae. The record is from miRBase by way of RNAcentral.
ACUCAGCCUUGGGGGCACUUCC